UGCAGCGACGCCGCGUGAGGGAUGACGGCCUUCGGGUUGUAAACCUCUUUCAGCAGGGAAGAAGCGAAAGUGACGGUACCUGCAGAAGAAGCGCCGGCUAACUACGUGCCAGCAGCCGCGGUAAUACGUAGGGCGCAAGCGUUGUCCGGAAUUAUUGGGCGUAAAGAGCUCGUAGGCGGCUUGUCACGUCGGAUGUGAAAGCCCGAGGCUUAACCUCGGGUCUGCAUUCGAUACGGGCUAGCUAGAGUGUGGUAGGGGAGAUCGGAAUUCCUGGUGUAGCGGUGAAAUGCGCAGAUAUCAGGAGGAACACCGGUGGCGAAGGCGGAUCUCUGGGCCAUUACUGACGCUGAGGAGCGAAAGCGUGGGGAGCGAACAGGAUUAGAUACCCUGGUAGUCCACGCCGUAAACGUUGGGAACUAGGUGUUGGCGACAUUCCACGUCGUCGGUGCCGCAGCUAACGCAUUAAGUUCCCCGCCUGGGGAGUACGGCCGCAAGGCUAAAACUCAAAGGAAUUGACGGGGGCCCGCACAAGCGGCGGAGCAUGUGGCUUAAUUCGACGCAACGCGAAGAACCUUACCAAGGCUUGACAUAUACCGGAAAGCAUUAGAGAUAGUGCCCCCCUUGUGGU
RNAcentral lists this ribosomal RNA (628 nucleotides) under Streptomyces sp. So2Pt_139. RNAcentral describes it as "bacterial SSU rRNA". It matches the Rfam family "Bacterial small subunit ribosomal RNA", at positions 387 to 1025 of the family's 1533-position model. The record is from RNAcentral. Lineage: Bacteria; Bacillati; Actinomycetota; Actinomycetes; Kitasatosporales; Streptomycetaceae.